Molecule: long non-coding RNA, 620 nt
Organism: Haliotis rubra (blacklip abalone)
Lineage: Eukaryota; Metazoa; Mollusca; Gastropoda; Lepetellida; Haliotidae
Exons: 3
Source: RefSeq, a predicted model, not a curated record
AGCACAAGUAGAACUUCGAAGGACAGUACACAAUAACCGCUAAUACACUGGUACAUGACAUUUCCACGGUGAUGACAACAUGCACUCAUAUAAUGAGCUUCUGCAAAAGGAGGAAGAAGAUUGGGGCUCUGUUGAUUCGACAAGAGGAAACCCAAAUUUGUCGCAUUUGAAAAGUCCGUACAGUCAAGCAGACUAUGUUUGAUGAUGAACACUUCAUCGCAAGAGACACACAUGGGAAAUCCAACUCCAUCCGUUUUCAGCAGAUAGUCAUGACAAAACCGGCUGUGGCCAAUACGACAUCGUGGUACAGCUACCUCAUCAGGUCUCGACUGACAACCCAGAUUUCAAUAGUGACAUCGAGGGCGUGAAUCAAGAUAUAUGAAUAAAGUGUGGGUGCUUUCUGUUGGGACAAGUGCCAUACACUUGUUGAUUUCCCGGGAACAAGGCUUAGUUGCCGACACAGGAGAAACUGAUUGUCUAAGUGAAAGUGACCCUUGAUUCAUUCCGGUAGAACCAUCGGCGAGGUAUUCCUGUGUCACUGACACUAUACACAUUGUGCGUAUACGGGUACAUCUGUCUUCACUUGAUUCUAUCUGUAUUGUAGUACCGACCAAAGUUCA